This 104-nucleotide small nucleolar RNA is filed under the name Metarhizium acridum CQMa 102. RNAcentral describes it as "Small nucleolar RNA Z13/snr52". It matches the Rfam family "Small nucleolar RNA Z13/snr52". From Rfam's summary of the family: Z13 or snr52 is a member of the C/D class of snoRNA which contain the C (UGAUGA) and D (CUGA) box motifs. The record is from Rfam by way of RNAcentral. Lineage: Eukaryota; Fungi; Ascomycota; Sordariomycetes; Hypocreales; Clavicipitaceae.
UAGUCCAUUAUGAUGAAAUAUUUGCGGAUGUAAAAAUUUGUCAUGUCGGAAAGCGCAAAAAACAAUGUCGAGAUUUCCGUUGCCUUCCUUCUGAUAUUGGGACA